RNAcentral lists this small RNA (106 nucleotides) under Marmota monax (woodchuck). Lineage: Eukaryota; Metazoa; Chordata; Mammalia; Rodentia; Sciuridae. The record is from RNAcentral.
GCCAGGUGCCAUGGCACAUGCCUGUAAUCCCAGUGACUAGGAGGCUGAGAUAGGAGGAUCACAAGUUUGAGGCUAGCCUUAACCACUUAGUGAGACCCUGUCUCAA